CGCUCCAAACGUGAGCUGUCCAUGGACAGAGUAAGAGGGUGUGUUCAGUGGUUUCAGCUUCCAUGUGGCAAAUGGAACAUAAAGGAUCAGGUAUUAUCUUUCUCCUGUGAAGAUUAUCCCUUGUUGGUAGGGCGUUGUGGCAUGCUUGCUAAAGAAAUAAUCUGAUUUUGGGUAGGGUGUGAGUCUGCUUGAUGUAUUUCCAGAGAUCUGGAUUGAUUUGAUGAGAUGAGGUUGCUACUGUGGUAUGAUAAUUGUUUGGGUUGUCUCUGGCUGAAAAGUAACCACUUUUAGUUGAGUAAAGACCAGAUUUGGUGUGCAUCCAGACCAAUUUAUCUCUUGAAUUAGGCAAACCAAUGGGGGUAGCUAGUAUUUCUCUCACAAUUCCUUCAUCAAACAGCUUUUCCACCUUCUCUGUUUUCCACUUUCCUGUCUCUUGUUCGAUCAAUUCUGCCACUUGAACAGGUUCAUUUCUUGUUGCUAGACCACCUAUAGGGCCUCUCUUCAGCCAUAUGUGGCGUGAUAGAAUCUCUUCCCUGAAUUAUACUUUGCCAACCCCAUGAUGGGCAAGAUCCUUUUCCAGCUUUCCAGAAAUCACCCUGUGGAUAAUAUAAACCCCUCAUUACUUUACUCAAUAGAAACUGAGGAUUCUGUGAGAUUCGCCACGCUUGUUUCCCCAGCAGAGCUGUAUUGAAAGUUGUAAUAUCUUUGAAGCCAAGACCCCCUUCAUCCUUUCUGAGUUUCAAGGAUUCCCAUAUCUUCCAAUGUAUACCAGCAUGUGUGAUGUUCGUUUUCCACCAGAAAUUUGCGGUCCUCUUCUCAAUAGCUUUGAAUAUAGACACUGAGAUUCUGAAUAUUGACAUAGCAUAUUGAGGGAUAGCCUGAACCACUGAUUUGAUUAAAAUCUCCUUCCCCGCUUUUGAUAACAAGCUUUCCUUCCAGCUUUCUAACUUUCUAUUAACUCGCGCUAGGAUCCACGCGAACAUAUCUUUCUUUGAGGAACCCCAAUCUGAGGGAAUUCCCAAGUAUUUCCCUGUUUUCUCUAUCUCGGGAACUCGUAGUGUUGUGGCCAUAUUUCUCCUCAACGUAGUAGGGCAGAAUUUGCCGAAGUAUAUACCUGAUUUAUUAAGAUUUAUGGCCUGACCAGAAGCAAAGCAAUAUUCGUGUAGGAUCAUCACCAGGUUUUGACAUUCUAAGAUUGUGCCAUUGAGGAAAAAUAUAGAGUCAUAUGCAAAUAACAAGUGUGAAAGGAUGGGGCAGUUGUUGUUCAGUUUAAUACCUCUAAGUGUGCCAUCAUCCACUGCUUUCCUCAUCAUGGUUGAUAGUACAUUAGCUACUAAUAUGAAAAGAAAUGGUGAUAGUGGAUCACCUUGGCGAAGUCCUCUAGUUGGCCUGAAAGAAGGAAGAGCCUCCCCAUUAAAAUUGACACUGAAUGUAACUGUAGAAACACACUGCAUCACCCAUUGCACCCACUGUUCACUGAAUCCCAUUUUAGUUAAACAUGCUCUUAGGAAGUCCCAUUCAAUCCGAUCAUACGCCUUCUGCAUAUCUAACUUUAACACUGCUUGAUACUUCUUUUUCCUCUCCCGAGUUCAUAAUCUGUGGAGAACCUCUUGUACAAUCAAUAUAUUGUCUUGUAUUUGCCUUCCCCCCACGAAAUCACUUUCUUCUUCUGCAAUGAGUUGAGCUAUGAGAGGUUUUAAUCUGUUUGACAGCACAUUUGAGAUGAUUUUAUAUGCAAAAUUGCAAAGGCUAAUAGGGCGGAACUGCUCAAGCUUUUCUGGGUUUGGGGUCUUAGGAAUGAGGGUUAUAAGUGUUCUGUUCAGAUCAAGAUGGAGGUAACCGGUGGCGAAAAAGUCUGUAUUUCUGUGAAUAUAUCCGAUCAAUAUUUGGCCAAUGAUUUCUAAAAAAAAGGCCAUGCAUGCCAUCUGGUCCAGGAGCUUUAUUGGCUCCCAACUGCUGUUUUGAUUUCCUCCAUGCUAACAGAUUCAACGAGUCUUUGAUUCAUUUGCACAUCCACCAAAGCUGGAAUUUGUUGUAAGAGGGGCUAGAAGUUUCGAGGCCCCACUAACUCGUAUAGUUUUUGAAAAUAUGUACCGGUCAUAUCUUUUAGCUGCUGCUCUUCACGCACCCAAACAUCUUCUACAUUUUUCAACAUCUAUAUCUAAUUUCUAAUUCUCCUCUGGAUAGUUGUGGCAUGAAAGAAUUUGUUGUUCUUAUCCCCCCAGUUCAACCAAUUAAUUCUAGACCGCAUUCCCAAAUACAUUUCUUCUUGUCUCCACAAUUGGUCAAUUUCUUUGAUUAAUUCCUUUGCUGCCUUGCUCUCAUUGAAAGUGCAUGUACUGUUCAUUAAGUGUUGUAGCUCGCGAGUCAGCCACGUGAUCCUCUUUCUAGCAUUAGUGAAAAUUUGUUAUGGCUCCAUUUUAACAACUUUUGUGACACUAUAUGCAGUUUCUCCGCCACGCAAAGCUGUUGGAGAGCCGGUUCAGUCCAAGUAUCCCUUACUAGUGUCACACAAUCCUCCUCCUCUGCCCAGAAAGCUUCGUAUCUAAAGCUCUUCCCCUUUCUUUUCCUCGGAGGGCUGGUCGCAAGAAUAAUUGG
Molecule: long non-coding RNA, 2598 nt
Filed under: Eucalyptus grandis
Lineage: Eukaryota; Viridiplantae; Streptophyta; Magnoliopsida; Myrtales; Myrtaceae
Description: long non-coding RNA (EGRA_LNC007779)
Source: RNAcentral